AACUACAAUAUGCAGCGAAUAGUUUACAGUAAGUUGGGUGAAGAGGGAAACACCUGCGACAAACUUUGGGAAGCAAAGCUGGAAACUAGAGGAGACCUCCAUACUCUGGACUGCCAACUAGAGUUUGCAUGAAGGGUUGUGAAAGCACAAAGAAGUGAAAAUAUUGCACACCAUGUACUCUUCAGUCUAUAUAUUUGCUUCAUUUUCGAAGUCUUUUGCCAAUCAUUUCGUUGUGUCCCUCUGCUUUGAGUAUAUAGUAUGUGUAUUGGAGACAUUUCUCAUCAAAAUCAAGAGAUAAAUCUAACUGAAAUGGAUUGGGAACAUUUUUUAAUUGUAAGCUAUUUCUUUACAGAUAUGGACAGCAAAUCAGUAAUACUCCUGGGCGUUCAGCUGAUGGGAAAUGCUACUGUACCGUAGAGGCACAUCUUCUUUGGACAGGAUGAACUCCAGUGUUAAGAACUGACUGUCAAACUGAAGAUAUCCUGUGACAUAGGAAUUUAUUCUGAGAUAAGUCCUGGGACUCUUCACAUCUAAAGGGAUGCAGUAAUCAUAUAACAGCAUAAGGACUGUCCACGUCUUUCAAUCAUCGGGAUUGAAAAGAAGGAUUUAGCUGUGUGUUACUUUCAAGAUGAACUCUCAGGGUUGCCCGACAGAUGGCAGCGGAUGUUACGGACACAGGUGAUCAUAGUAAGGUAUCAAGAUAACAGAAUAAAAUACUAGCAAAAAUCAGGAUAGCCAGCAGAGUUGGGUUUGGAUAGACAGUAAACUAGCAGUGUCAGGAACAAUAUGACGUCAGAAUCAAACCAAUCAUCACAAUGACAAGGUGUUCUGAGUAUGCAUAAUCACUCUCAAAACCAAAAUCCUUUUUUCAACUAUAAAAUUAUAAAUAAUAUAAAUUUUUUCAAUAAAAAACUAUAAUAUACAGUA
Molecule: long non-coding RNA, 927 nt
Organism: Rana temporaria (common frog)
Lineage: Eukaryota; Metazoa; Chordata; Amphibia; Anura; Ranidae
Exons: 3
Source: RefSeq, a predicted model, not a curated record